CCCGCUCCCCUCCUGUGCUUCCAUUUUAAAAUCUUCCCCAAUUUGGACCUAUGUUACCAGGAGAAAAAAAAAAUGGCGUCCGGUAUAGGAAUGAUGGAUUCUGCAUGUUCUGUGAGUAGACCAUUCUUUCAGGGAUCAACUCGACUCUCAAGCUCAAAUCUUUCCAAAAUUGAAGAGAUGGCUGAUGGUGCGAUUCCAUGUCAACUGAUAGAUCGAUGCUGUCCAUCUAGAUGUGCUGCCCAUGAGUAAGGUUAAUUUUGAGGCCAAGAAUAUAUAUAAACGAGACGAUCCAGAAUCAUAAGGUCGUUGGAGAUGUUUCAGAUCACCAGAGGCUCGUUUCUCUUCUUUAUCCACGCAAUUGGGAUGGAAGGGAAACAGCUUGCGAAAGGAAGGCUUCUCCUCAAUUUGGAGUUCAUGCAGUGGAUGAAAAGUAUAUGUUAACAAGUAAUCCUUACCUCAUUGCUUUCUAAAUUUUCAGUUCAGUGGAAUUUUUUUAAUUUUCUCGUGUAGGAAGUGAGUGGUAUAUUUGUAAUUUGCUUCGUAGUUCUGAGCAUCAAUCCCGCACAUUUAUUACUUCAAAGGACCCAAUGAGGAAAGGCCAGGUUUUCUUUGUAUGAAAGCUAGCUAGCUCCUAGCUCCUAAGCAAAGAAUAAAAGAAUUUAGGCAUGGACAGAAAAGACACUGAAAGGUCAGAAUGCUAUAUUGUUGAAAAUUUGAUAAAUCCAGCUGAUUGGCAUAGUUAUUUUUACUA
Vitis riparia (riverbank grape) is the source of this 751-nucleotide long non-coding RNA. RefSeq lists it as uncharacterized. The record is from RefSeq and is a predicted model, not a curated record. The transcript has 3 exons. Lineage: Eukaryota; Viridiplantae; Streptophyta; Magnoliopsida; Vitales; Vitaceae.